GCCUGAGUGGCUCAAUCGGUUGGGCGCCCGACUUCAGCUCAGGUCAUGAUCUCGUGGUUCAUGGGUUCAAGCCCCACGUCAGGCU
Molecule: transfer RNA, 85 nt
Filed under: Felis catus (domestic cat)
Lineage: Eukaryota; Metazoa; Chordata; Mammalia; Carnivora; Felidae
Rfam family: tRNA
About the family: Transfer RNA (tRNA) molecules are approximately 80 nucleotides in length. Their secondary structure includes four short double-helical elements and three loops (D, anti-codon, and T loops).
Source: Rfam by way of RNAcentral